GAAACGGCAGCUUAGCUUGCUAAGCUGGACGUCGACCGGCGCACGGGUGAGUAACGCGUAUCCAACCUGCCCCACGGUGAGGGAUAACCCGCGGAAACGCGGCCUAAUACCUCAUGGUCUCCGAGUUUGCCAUCAACCUUGGAGUAAAGAUUCAUUGCCGUGGGAUGGGGAUGCGUCUGAUUAGCUUGUUGGCGGGGCAACGGCCCACCAAGGCAACGAUCAGUAGGGGUUCUGAGAGGAAAGCCCCCCACAUUGGAACUGAGACACGGUCCAAACUCCUACGGGAGGCAGCAGUGAGGAAUAUUGGUCAAUGGGCGAGAGCCUGAACCAGCCAAGUAGCGUGCAGGAAGACGGCCCUAUGGGUUGUAAACUGCUUUUAUGCGGGGAUAAAGCGGGCGACGUGUCGCCCUUUGCAGGUACCGCAUGAAUAAGGACCGGCUAAUUCCGUGCCAGCAGCCGCGGUAAUACGGAAGGUCCGGGCGUUAUCCGGAUUUAUUGGGUUUAAAGGGAGCGCAGGCCGGGUAUUAAGCGUGUUGUGAAAUGUAGGCGCCCAACGUCUGCACCGCAGCGCGAACUGGUGCCCUUGAGUACGCACGACGUUGGCGGAAUUCGCCGUGUAGCGGUGAAAUGCUUAGAUAUGGCGAAGAACUCCGAUUGCGAAGGCAGCUGACGGGAGCGCUACUGACGCUCAUGCUCGAAAGCGCGGGUAUCGAACAGGAUUAGAUACCCUGGUAGUCCGCGCGGUAAACGAUGGAUGCCCGCUAUUUGCGCAUUAGCGCAAGUGGCCAAGUGAAAACGUUAAGCAUCCCACCUGGGGAGUACGCCGGCAACGGUGCAAC
RNAcentral lists this ribosomal RNA (839 nucleotides) under uncultured Bacteroidota bacterium. Its description in RNAcentral is "bacterial SSU rRNA". It matches the Rfam family "Bacterial small subunit ribosomal RNA", at positions 64 to 900 of the family's 1533-position model. The record is from RNAcentral. Lineage: Bacteria; Pseudomonadati; Bacteroidota.